RNAcentral lists this unclassified non-coding RNA (1481 nucleotides) under Helicoverpa zea (corn earworm). Its description in RNAcentral is "putative cystathionine gamma-lyase 2, transcript variant X1". Lineage: Eukaryota; Metazoa; Arthropoda; Insecta; Lepidoptera; Noctuidae. The record is from RNAcentral.
UUUAGGCCCUUCUUUUAAAUAUUUUACGUGGUAACUGUAGGUAUGCAGUAAGUAAAUAAUCUGUAUUUCAGGGUCCAUAGAGUGUGUGGAACUAAAAAACCUUAAUUUACUAUGCUGAAAAUGAUCUACGAAACCCCCCCUACAAUGUAUUGAGCAUAAUGCCUUACCACCACGCCACCGUGGACCCAAUCGUGGCUGGUCGAGUACUAGUAUAUGAUUUAAUUUUGUCACUAAUGAUUUCACGGCAAUCAUUAACCGAUUUAAGGCUGCAUGAAACAACAUCAAGCAGUGCGAAAUGUUCGCAACAAGGACUCCUAGAGUCAGCAGCAAGUGACACAACAACUGCCAUACUCGCUGAUCAGAGCUCGGACAAGUGGGACUGCCUCUCAGUCACGCCUCCCGUCACGAUGUCCACUUCAUUCAAACAACCAGGCCCUAGUCAAUCUAAGGCCUGUGUUUAUUCAAAAGCAGGAAAUCCAUCGAGGAAUACUUUGGAAGGCUGUUUUGCAGCAUUAGAAGGAGCAAAACAUUGCUUUACUUUCGCUUCUGGCAUGGGAGCAAUCACCACCGCCAUCUUGCUCCUCAAAAAAGGCCAGCAUAUGGUUGUAAUGAACGACGUCGACGGCGCAACACGUAGCCUUUUUAGUAAAAGUAACAAAAUGGACAUUGAAGUAACAUUUACGGAUUUAUCAGUCCCUGGAAAUUUAGAGAAAUCCAUCAAAUCAAAUACUAAGAUGGUUUUCUUUGAGACGCCAACAAACCCCGUCCUGAAAGUUAUUGACAUUGCUGCGGUCGCCAAAGCAGCUAAAAGUCGUGGUGAUAUAAUAGUCGUCGUGGAUAACACAUUCCUUACACCUUACUUGCAAAAGCCUUUGAAAUUCGGCGCCGACGUAGUUCUGUACUCUAUAACAAAGUAUUUAACUGGCCUCACUGAUGUUGUGAUGGGUGCAAUCCUUGUUAACGAUGACAUAAUAGCGGAUAAGCUUAAACAUUUACAAUGCGUGGCGGGAAUCGUGCCGUCUCCGUUCGAUUGUUAUAUGGUUAACAGAAGUUUGAAAACAUUGCCUUUGCGUAUGGAGCGGCACAAGGAGUCAGCCUUGCUUGUAGCUGGCUGGUUAGAUAUGCAUCCUAAGAUUGUUGAAGUACUGCACCCAGGGCUUCCGACGCACCCGAAUCAUGACCUUGGCAGAAGGCAAAUGAGUGGUCAUUCGGGAGUCUUUAGUUUUAGGCAUUGCGGUGGUCUAAAAGAGUCGAAGAAGUUUUUAUACGCUCUCAAAGUUUUUACUCUGUCUGUGAGUUUGGGAGGAUAUGAGAGCUUGGCGGAAAUACCGUGAGUGUUAGACUUUUCUCUCACACACCUAGAAUGUCGGGGUUAAUUGAUAGUAAUAGAUCGUUGAUGACGCAUGCCUUCAUCCCGGAAAAAGAAAGGCUUGCGCUUGGUAUUACAAAUUCGCUCGUAAGGAUUUCAGUAGGCUUGGAAG